GGCGGGUUCGGCUAGGGGUUAGGCCGCCAGACUCUCGAUCUGGAGACAGGGGUUCGAUUCCCCUACUCGCUG
This 72-nucleotide transfer RNA is filed under the name Micromonosporaceae bacterium. Its description in RNAcentral is "tRNA-Glu". It matches the Rfam family "tRNA". From Rfam's summary of the family: Transfer RNA (tRNA) molecules are approximately 80 nucleotides in length. The record is from RNAcentral. Lineage: Bacteria; Bacillati; Actinomycetota; Actinomycetes; Micromonosporales; Micromonosporaceae.